Molecule: ribosomal RNA, 253 nt
Filed under: uncultured bacterium
Lineage: Bacteria
Description: partial 16S ribosomal RNA
Rfam family: Bacterial small subunit ribosomal RNA
Source: RNAcentral
UACGGAGGGUGCAAGCGUUAAUCGGAAUUACUGGGCGUAAAGAGUUCGUAGGUGGUUAAAUAAGUCAGAUGUGAAAGACCUGGGCUCAACCUGGGAAGUGCAUAUGAUACUGUAUAACUAGAGUUUAUUAGAGGAUUGGGGAAUUUCUGGUGUAGCGGUGAAAUGCAUAGAUAUCGGAAGGAACAUCAAUGGCGAAGGCAACAAUCUGGGAUUAAACUGACACUGAGGAACGAAAGCGUGGGUAGCAAACAGG